UGGCUCAGUUGGUAGAGCAUGGUGUUUGCAACGCCAGGGUUGUGGGUUCGAUUUCCAU
This 58-nucleotide transfer RNA is filed under the name Salmo salar (Atlantic salmon). It matches the Rfam family "tRNA", at positions 8 to 63 of the family's 71-position model. Rfam says of the family: Transfer RNA (tRNA) molecules are approximately 80 nucleotides in length. The record is from Rfam by way of RNAcentral. Lineage: Eukaryota; Metazoa; Chordata; Actinopteri; Salmoniformes; Salmonidae.